Molecule: long non-coding RNA, 1440 nt
Organism: Carassius auratus (goldfish)
Lineage: Eukaryota; Metazoa; Chordata; Actinopteri; Cypriniformes; Cyprinidae
Exons: 2
Source: RefSeq, a predicted model, not a curated record
CCCGUUAACCAGGGGUGUAUUCCAGAAAGCUGGGUUAACUUACCAUCUGACUAACCCUGAACUCUGGGUUGAUUAACCCAAAACCUGGUUACUCAGGGUAUGUCGGUUCCAAAACAUGUAUGUCGAGUUAGUUUAACCAAGCUACUGCUAAUAACCUCGAGUUAAUGCGCGCGCACGGCGACCAUAUUAAGCCAUUUUUAAUGGAAUGCCGAAUUCAAGAGUCACCAUGGAAAAGUCACAUGCCGCGUACUUCUCCGAAGCAUAGUUCGAAGUUUUAAUGUUGGCUUAUGAGGAGUUCAAGCCAAUUAUAAUGAAAAAAAGCAAUACAGCUGCAUAUGCGAGGGAAAGACAAUUGGCUUUGCAAAAAAUAACUAACCGAGUAAAUGCGUGUUUUUUUUUUUAUAAAUAUGCUUGCCUUUCUUUUGUUAAUUUGCAAAGUUGAACAAUUGUCUUUUUGAGCAUGUGGCAUGACUUGACAGGCAUUUACUUUUCUCUACAUCAGUUGCUUAAGAAUACAGUGCAAUGUAUAUUGACAAGAAAUAUUUAAGCCUCUUGUUUUAUAAGGUGUAUUCCUUUUGGAGCCAAAAUAAAUUCAAAAUGAAACACAAAACAUUCUUCAAAAAGUUAAUAUUUUAUUUUAACUGUUUUAAGAUCAAUGUCUUGAAUAACUUUUACAGUAUUCUUCCUAUAUAGCUAAUAGAAAGAAGGCUGGGGCCUGUCUAACUGGCGGGGGUCCACCUCCACCUCCUCUCACCCCAUCUGAGGAGUUGGCUCUGUCACUUAAUAAAGGUCGCCCUGUGGUUGAUGGUAUUCCAGAGGGCACUUCGUCAGACUUUGCUUCCUCCCAUGACAACUCAAGUGACUUGGUACAAUGAUGAUGAUGAAUAGACCAUAUCUGCUGUGACUGACUUAAAAAGUGCUGGGAGACCCACAGAGGUAUGAUGCAUAUACUGGACAAUGCAUAGCUUUUUAGAUGGAGUGAAAAAUGUCAUUUGUCUUGUCACAGAAUCUAGCUGGGGAUGUACAUGCAGAUGAGGGUCCAUCUACCUCGACAUGUAGUCUUAGCAUUGUAAGAACUUGUCCCUGGUUGUCCUUAUUUACAUAAUGUUACAAUGUAGCAGGUUUUCUUUAACCGUCUUAUUUACUUUGCCUUCUUAGUUGUCUGCAAAGGAGCUGUAUAAUGUCAAUCUAUUAAGGCAAAUAAUAAAAAAAAACUGAUAUGGACCUUAUACAGCUUCAGCUAGAGGAGAAAAGGCUGGCCAUUUUAAAAGACAAAACUUGAAAUCGAACUACUGGAGCAUCACCUUAAGGUGAAAAUCAUAUGUGAACAUAAUGUAAAAUGUAAAGCAAUAAAUACAAAUCUGUCAUGUCUCUUUUAUUUCAGGAUAUUAAGAAAUAGCACAUUCAAUAAAGUGAUUUUGACAAAUUAUGUCUCUAAGC